GCGCCCGUAGUUCAACGGAUAGAACAAUAGCCUUCUAAGCUAUUCGGUGUGGGUUCGAUUCCCGCCGGGCGCGCCA
RNAcentral lists this transfer RNA (76 nucleotides) under Burkholderia ubonensis. Its description in RNAcentral is "tRNA-Arg". It matches the Rfam family "tRNA". Rfam says of the family: Transfer RNA (tRNA) molecules are approximately 80 nucleotides in length. Their secondary structure includes four short double-helical elements and three loops (D, anti-codon, and T loops). Lineage: Bacteria; Pseudomonadati; Pseudomonadota; Betaproteobacteria; Burkholderiales; Burkholderiaceae. The record is from RNAcentral.